UGCUAUGUCAACUGGUAAACGAUGGCUCUC
Molecule: non-coding RNA, 30 nt
Filed under: Macaca fascicularis (crab-eating macaque)
Lineage: Eukaryota; Metazoa; Chordata; Mammalia; Primates; Cercopithecidae
Also listed under: 1 other name
Source: RNAcentral